This 404-nucleotide long non-coding RNA is filed under the name Chinchilla lanigera (long-tailed chinchilla). Its description in RNAcentral is "lncRNA (ENSCLAG00000023387.1)". Lineage: Eukaryota; Metazoa; Chordata; Mammalia; Rodentia; Chinchillidae. The record is from RNAcentral.
GUUGAACUGCCACACCAGCUCAAACAGUGGCAUGACUGAAUCAAUUGGUAUAUUCACGACAAGGAGCCUGGAAAGCGAUCUCCUCCCAGAACUUACACAUGGUGAUGAAGUCAUUUCUUAGAAUAUACCUAGCCCAGGACUCUUGCUGCUCCAGAGCAUCCCAGCAACGGGAAACCCCCCAGACAUCUUCCCAAUGUCUCCCGCAGUCCAUUUGUCAAGGAAGUGAAGAUAAUUUAAAAGGAUCCGCAGAACUUGGACCCAGUCUUCUAAAGGAACCGGAGCAACUGUACAUGUGCAGUCACAGAGCAAGGGUGUGACAUGCUGGAGGUAGAGGGUGAUGGAGCCUGGAUGGGGCGCGGGAAACUACCUCUUCAUCAUUUCCCUUUGUUGUCCUUACUUCUCUU